UCUCCGUAGGUGAACCUGCGGAGGGAUCAUUACUGAGUGAGGGCUCACGCCCGACCUCCAACCCUUUGUGAACACAUCUUGUUGCUUCGGGGGCGACCCUGCCGGCACUCUGUCGCCGGGCGCCCCCGAAGGUCUCCAAACACUGCAUCUUUGCGUCGGAGUUUAAAACAAAUUAAACAAAACUUUCAACAACGGAUCUCUUGGUUCUGGCAUCGAUGAAGAACGCAGC
This 229-nucleotide unclassified non-coding RNA is filed under the name uncultured fungus. Its description in RNAcentral is "sequence contains ITS1, 5.8S rRNA gene". The stretch from base 181 to 229 matches the Rfam family "5.8S ribosomal RNA", at positions 1 to 49 of the family's 154-position model. The record is from RNAcentral. Lineage: Eukaryota; Fungi.